AUUGAACGCUGGCGGCAGGCCUAACACAUGCAAGUCGAACGGUAACAGGAAACAGCUUGCUGUUCCGCUGACGAGUGGCGGACGGGUGAGUAAUGUCUGGGAAACUGCCUGAUGGAGGGGGAUAACUACUGGAAACGGUAGCUAAUACCGCAUAACGUCGCAAGACCAAAGAGGGGGACCCUCGGGCCUCUUGCCAUCGGAUGUGCCCAGAUGGGAUUAGCUAGUAGGUGGGGUAACGGCUCACCUAGGCGACGAUCCCUAGCUGGUCUGAGAGGAUGACCAGCCACACUGGAACGGAGACACGGUCCAGACUCCUACGGGAGGCAGCAGUGGGGAAUAUUGCACAAUGGGCGCAAGCCUGAUGCAGCCAUGUCGCGUGUAUGAAGAAGGCCUUCGGGUUGUAAAGUACUUUCAGCGGGGAGGAAGGGAGUAAAGUUAAUACCUUUGCUCAUUGACGUUACCCGCAGAAGAAGCACCGGCUAACUCCGUGCCAGCCGCCGCCGUAA
This 506-nucleotide ribosomal RNA is filed under the name uncultured bacterium. Its description in RNAcentral is "partial 16S ribosomal RNA". It matches the Rfam family "Bacterial small subunit ribosomal RNA", at positions 30 to 523 of the family's 1533-position model. The record is from RNAcentral.